UGAGAUCUGACAAGUCGUCGUACUCGUCCCUCAGGAUGUCUUUCUCCAGGCAGAAGGUGGCCAGGCCUCUCGAAGCAUCCCGGCCAGCGAAAAUGCCGUAAGGACCAUCUGAAAAACAAACAACAGCAAGAAUGAACUCGAGGACCACGCUGCCAGGUUGGAAAAAUGGCAGUUUUGAGUUUCAUGAACAAGGCGCUCAUGAUGCCACUGACCAGCCAAUUGGUGACAUGCAGUCCUGCUUGGAUCGCUUGGAACCCCGGCUGAGCACUAAGACCUUCUGACCCAACACUUCUCCACAGCCCGUGCAUCAACUCCUCAUCGUGCUCCUUCUGUCCUGUUACUAUUAGUGGAGAACAGAGACCGUUCUCCACUAAUAGAAAUGAUGACAUCAGUUUUUCUUGUAAGUGAUUAGCUGAUUACAGAAAAGUCAUUGAUAAUUUAAUUCAAAUUUUAUAUAUGCAUGCACACAAAUCAUAGACCCACUUUCUAACAUGCAUCUCAAAUUUAUUUGGAACAGUUGACCUGAUAAAAUAAGCCUUUUAAACCCCCCUUAGGCUCUAGGAAAAUGGCUCUGUCUCUUAACAGGCAAAACAUGCAAUCAAGAAAUGUAUGAGUUCACCAAAAUAACAUUAACAAGCCUACUUCUUGCAAAUUACAAACUAAAUUACUUUGACCAGCAUGCAUUUUAUAUGGAUUUAAAUAACAAUCACACUUCUGAGUACAACAAGCUCUUAAUUGAGCUUUUUUAAAUGUGUUUCCACAUUAAACAUCUUCAAAUGAUUUAAGUCUGCUUCUGUUUUUUCUUCCACUACGAGAACACCCUUCAUAUGCUGGUAAAAACCAAGCAGACAUUUCUGUUCUGUUCUGAAUCCAUAAAAGUCUAUUUUCACCUACUGAUCCACUUCCAUGCAACUGAAGGUUACAUCAUCUAUGCUGAUGAAUGGGAUCAAAGUGUUUUUAACUGAUGAUGUGAUUUAUGGUGACCUGCUACUGAGGUUUGGCCAUCAGCAUUAUACGAUGCUGUAGUGUUGUAAAACCUGAAUAUACACUGGUCCUGUGCUAUAGUUCUGUUCUAAUGUAAGGCAUGCAUAAUGCUGUGUGACCUAUAGUCAGAGUCUGUACAUGCACUGUAUCCACAGAAGAGGCAGCUUUCAAAAAGGAGGUCACUGAGCUCUGGAAGCAGCUGUAGUCUGGAGGCUUGUAUAGUGGACAGUAAAUGGUGCAUUUAUUUUUGUCCCUCCUCUGCACAGUGUGAGGUUUAACAGCUCUGUCACAAUGUCUUCAUGUCAAAGUGGCAUGAGUGCCAGUAGUGCUUACGCUUUAAAGGAAACCUACAGUUGAAAGCAACCAAGGGCUACCCCAAUGCUCCAGAGCACCAUUCAAUCAUAUACUGUCUAUAUAUCCACUCUAGUGUAUGUGCAAUUGUGUUUCCUGCUGUAUAAGAAAGAAAUUUAAGACUCAGUGCAACAUCACAAUGAUCAUCACUGAAGAGGUGCUGCAGACAGUAAUGGUUAUGAGAUAUGAGCCCUAAUGCAACCAUAGCAGAGUGCUUUGUGUGGUUUUAAGGACCCUGGUCAAACGAUUACAAUACAAGCAUACACAGACUCAUUUUUCAGCCCAGCAUUAGAUUUCUGAUCCAUCAUGUGGCAGUCUGCUGGGUCAUCUAGUACAUUUCUUAGUGAUUUCCAUAUCAGUGAUCUGAUCACAAUUUUUACUGAUCAAACUGCAUCUUUAAAAGAACAAUAUGAAUUAGAACACAAUGCAUAAAAUUCAAAGAUGAGCACUUUUUUUUUUUAAAGCAGGACUUGUGAACUGUGGAAAUACAAGAAAACUCCCCUGGAUAAAUUCUUCAAAAUCAAAUCUGGCAGAAACUGAGGAUUCACUGAUAAUGCCAAAGUUUAUGGUGACUUUCUGAGUCAGCACAUUGGACCAAUAAAAACACUUCUGGUCUCUUUAACUGAUUUCUUCAUUGACAACUCCUCACCUAUUUAUUAAAAAAAUAUGAAGGCUGGAAGUUAACAGAUGGAUGCUGACACGGUUGUUUGUGCCUUUUGGGGCAUUUCUGCUGCAACUACCUAACAGUUUAUAUCAAAGAAGUCUGGGCUCCAGGUUUGCUGAGUCUAUAGCUUCUACCCACUGGCUGUGCAUACGUAGUAUAGCCUGAUCUGUAUCAACUUCUCAAAGACGUUUCUAUUCCACAGACCAGGGUGGGUGCACUUAGACAGCCUUCAAUAAUGCAUAAAUAUGUCUAAUUUUUCUCUCAAGCCAUCAAAUAUUGUGACAGUGAUCGUGACUGAAUAACUGAUAAAUGGAUGCGAUGGCUUGAUGCACACCAGGUUUUCUCACCCUUUAACUUUUGUAAAUAUUACAAUAUAAGCGGAUGUUCUUAUUUAAUUAAUUUUCAGUUUUGGUAACAACCUAUAGAGUUUAAAUGUGAUCAUCACAUAAAGCCCACUACACCAGUCAAAAUUCAGAAGAAUUUCAUCCAUGCAACACCAGAACGAGCUUAGCACAAAUCCUGGAAUGAUAAUGAGAGAGCUAACUUAGCAUCAUCCAAAGUAUUUCUUAACAACUGCAAAGCUGUUUCAAUGUAUAAAAUCAAGUUAGAGUCAAUGUUUCCAUGGAUAUUACGUUAGAACUGAAAUAUGCAAACACAUACGAAACUUGAGCAAUAUUCUGUGAAUAGCAGCGAGAUGCAAAGGCUGGUUUGUUCAGGCAUGAUUUGCUACGCUGUGUGCUGUACGUGCACUUCUGUACUGGGUGUUCCUUUUCUAGUGUCAGUGCAGCGUUUUUUUAAACCGCUCUUUGGCAGACCUGCUCCAACAUGCUACAUGAUGACUGUAAGACUUUUUUAUUAGCUGUCAAUUCCAAGCAGAAAAGGCUGCGUACUGAUCUAAAAGUGCAGGUCGUCUGUGUGUCCAGCAGGUAAAAAUAAUUUUCCCCAUAUGAGAAUAUUUGAUCCAUACAUCAUGUUCUACACCAAAAACAUUUGGUGUAGAAGAUAAUGACUUUAUUUUGAUUUUUUAAAAAAAAGGGAGUUUGAGUAUUAGGUGUGGUAUUUGAGUCAUCUAUAAACUUUUAAAAUAGAUAAAAUAUACAGCGCUCACUGAUGCUAUACGAGUGCAUUACAGUCUAGCCUUUAGGCCUUUAAAAUCCACCAUUAACGUAAUGUGUACAGUAUGGUUUUCACUUUUCG
Oreochromis niloticus (Nile tilapia) is the source of this 3196-nucleotide long non-coding RNA. RefSeq lists it as uncharacterized. The transcript has 3 exons. NCBI's taxonomy places the organism in Eukaryota, Metazoa, Chordata, Actinopteri, Cichliformes, Cichlidae. The record is from RefSeq and is a predicted model, not a curated record.